GUUGUUAGAUAGAGAGAAAGAGAGAGUGAAAGAUGUGUAGUAAAAGUUUUAGUAUAGGCCUUUGUGUUAUCCUAAUAGGAGAGAAUCCAAAAGAAUUUAAUAAGGGUGGCAAUUUUAGACACGACAUGCGAACACGAUACUAAAAAAUAAAGGUUUAUGGUUGGAUUUAUUCGUGUUCGUGUUGAAAUCGCGUUAGUCCACAUAUGACAUGCCAAUAAUCUUGUUAUAUCAUGGGUUGACCCACUAACCCAAUUUGACAUGCUUCAUUGUUUGUGUCAUAUUUCGACCUACGAUCUGUUAACUCAUUUUGACUCACAAAUGACAUUGGAAAAUGAUAAAUUAGUAAAUA
This 349-nucleotide unclassified non-coding RNA is filed under the name Hevea brasiliensis (rubber tree). Lineage: Eukaryota; Viridiplantae; Streptophyta; Magnoliopsida; Malpighiales; Euphorbiaceae. The record is from RNAcentral.